GGUGAGAUGGCGGAGCAGCUGACUCUUAAUCAGCGGGUCCGCAGUUCAAUCCUGCGCCUCUCCC
This 64-nucleotide transfer RNA is filed under the name Mesorhizobium sp. RNAcentral describes it as "tRNA-Lys". It matches the Rfam family "tRNA". Rfam says of the family: Transfer RNA (tRNA) molecules are approximately 80 nucleotides in length. Their secondary structure includes four short double-helical elements and three loops (D, anti-codon, and T loops). Lineage: Bacteria; Pseudomonadati; Pseudomonadota; Alphaproteobacteria; Hyphomicrobiales; Phyllobacteriaceae. The record is from RNAcentral.